AGGAUAAUAGUUAAUUAUAACAUUUGAUUUGCAUUCAAAAAGUAUUGAUCCUUCAAUUUAUCUU
This 64-nucleotide transfer RNA is filed under the name Gyna capucina. Its description in RNAcentral is "tRNA-Ala". It matches the Rfam family "tRNA". From Rfam's summary of the family: Transfer RNA (tRNA) molecules are approximately 80 nucleotides in length. Their secondary structure includes four short double-helical elements and three loops (D, anti-codon, and T loops). The record is from RNAcentral. Lineage: Eukaryota; Metazoa; Arthropoda; Insecta; Blattodea; Blaberidae.